This 434-nucleotide ribosomal RNA is filed under the name uncultured bacterium. RNAcentral describes it as "bacterial SSU rRNA". It matches the Rfam family "Bacterial small subunit ribosomal RNA", at positions 29 to 507 of the family's 1533-position model. The record is from RNAcentral.
AACGAACGCUGGCGGCAGGCCUAACACAUGCAAGUCGAACGCCCUAGCAAUAGGGAGUGGCAGACGGGUGAGUAACACGUGGGAACCUUCCCUAUAGUAUGGAAUAGCCCAGGGAAACUUGGAGUAAUACCGUAUACGCCCGAGAGGGGAAAGAUUUAUCGCUAUAGGAUGGGCCCGCGUAGGAUUAGCUAGUUGGUGAGGUAAUGGCUCACCAAGGCGACGAUCCUUAGCUGGUCUGAGAGGACGACCAGCCACACUGGGACUGAGACACGGCCCAGACUCCUACGGGAGGCAGCAGUGGGGAAUAUUGGACAAUGGGCGCAAGCCUGAUCCAGCCAUGCCGCGUGAGUGAUGAAGGCCUUAGGGUUGUAAAGCUCUUUUUGCCGGGGACGAUAAUGACGGUACCCGGAGAAUAAGUCCCGGCUAACUUCGUG